Molecule: unclassified non-coding RNA, 376 nt
Filed under: uncultured Flavobacteriaceae bacterium
Lineage: Bacteria; Pseudomonadati; Bacteroidota; Flavobacteriia; Flavobacteriales; Flavobacteriaceae
Description: contains 16S-23S intergenic spacer region
Source: RNAcentral
UCGCGGUUUGCACCGGCAGUCUGGCUAGAGUUCCCGACACUACUCGCUGGCAACUAACCACAGGGGUUGCGCUCGUUAUAGGACUUAACCUGACACCUCACGGCACGAGCUGACGACAACCAUGCAGCACCUUGUAAUCUGUCCGAAGAAAUACACCUUUCGGCGUACGUCAGACUACAUUUAAGCCCUGGUAAGGUUCCUCGCGUAUCAUCGAAUUAAACCACAUGCUCCACCGCUUGUGCGGGCCCCCGUCAAUUCCUUUGAGUUUCAUUCUUGCGAACGUACUCCCCAGGUGGGUUACUUAUCACUUUCGCUUAACCACCCAGCCCUCAAUUAGGCCGGACAGCUAGUAACCAUCGUUUACGGCGUAGACUAC